Molecule: microRNA precursor, 59 nt
Filed under: Drosophila simulans
Lineage: Eukaryota; Metazoa; Arthropoda; Insecta; Diptera; Drosophilidae
Description: microRNA dsi-mir-983b precursor
Gene: dsi-mir-983b
Source: miRBase by way of RNAcentral
AGAUAAUACCUGACGAACUCAUGAAUGACUGAAAAUCAUGUGUUCGAAAGGUAUUACUA